RNAcentral lists this ribosomal RNA (751 nucleotides) under Ochlerotatus vigilax. RNAcentral's name for it is "eukaryotic LSU rRNA". It matches the Rfam family "Eukaryotic large subunit ribosomal RNA", at positions 303 to 892 of the family's 3401-position model. The record is from RNAcentral. Lineage: Eukaryota; Metazoa; Arthropoda; Insecta; Diptera; Culicidae.
ACUCCUUCUAAAGCUAAAUAUCACCACGAGACCGAUAGCGAACAAGUACCGUGAGGGAAAGUUGAAAAGCACUCUGAAUAGAGAGUCAAAAAGUACGUGAAACUGCCUAGGGCUCAAGCCCGUUGAACUCGAUUAUCCGCACGGAGACAUUCACCUGCGGUGGGUCCGCCCGCCGCAGGGCACUUGUCUCCCGUCAAGAGGACAUUGCGAUCCAUUACGAAACAGCUUUCGCGUCGCAAGACGCAAGGUCGCCCGACAGUUGCCCCUUGGUGCUUGGUUGCUUGCCCCACAGUAGCGACGCUCAGUUCUGAAGGCCUGUGCCGCGAGGUGGGGCUUACUGCACGUGGUGUUUGCAGUCGGGCGCGUGAUGGAUUCCCCCGUACGCCGUCGGUCUUCCCGCACCGGACCGGCGGACCGUCGAUCGGCAAUGACAAAAUCGAGGUACCUUCGGGACCCGUCUUGAAACACGGACCAAGAAGUCUAUCUUGCGCGCGAGCCAAUGGUCGUCCUCCGGAACACCAAAGGCGCAAAAAACAUAACUUGAGUUGUGCGGGAUUACGGGCGCGGCUCUCUGCGGCGUCCCUCCAUCCCCGGGUGUUGCAAUCGGCAUGCGGGGCCGGCGUCUCGGCGCCCGGCACCGUGCCGCAACAUACCGUGAGUGUGCAGGAUGUGACCCGAAAGAUGGUGAACUAUGCCUGAUCAGGUUGAAGUCAGGGGAAACCCUGAUGGAGGACCGAAGCAGUUCUGACGU